UUACCACGGUAGGAUUCAUGACUGGGGUGAAGUCGUAACAAGGUAGCCGUAUCGGAAGGUGCGGCUGGAUCACCUCCUUUCAGAGCU
This 87-nucleotide ribosomal RNA is filed under the name Achromobacter xylosoxidans. RNAcentral describes it as "partial 16S ribosomal RNA". It matches the Rfam family "Bacterial small subunit ribosomal RNA", at positions 1454 to 1533 of the family's 1533-position model. The record is from RNAcentral. RNAcentral also lists the same sequence under 1 other name. Lineage: Bacteria; Pseudomonadati; Pseudomonadota; Betaproteobacteria; Burkholderiales; Alcaligenaceae.